AAAGAGACGACAUACCCUAAGUAAUGGAGAGGUACUCAGUUCCUAAGCCCCUAAAGCAACUGGGAAGCAAGCGAUUUGAAGUGGACACACUUACCCCAUGAUCAGGUCUCUCUGAAGGCAGCAGAUAUCUAUCAUCUCUCCUAAAAGUGCAGACCGGCGGAGGACUAGUUCUGAGUCACUUAAUGAGGCAGCAGGUAACAGUGGCGGUUUCCUAGGGGCGGGGCUAAGUAGCCAUGCGCACAGCCGGGCGCAGGCCCAGUUGCCUUUCUCGGCCCGCACUCCUACGUGGAAAAGGGGUGUGUGUCAGAGCGACAGCUGAUGAAACCACUUCAAAUGGAGGCAAUGGACAACCAUUGAAGAUUUUUGAGCAAGGAAGUAAAAUGGCAACACUAAGCAGAACAGAUUUGGAUUGUGGGCAUGGAAAAAGAACAAAGAUAAAUGAGUCUGUUAGGAUAUCGCUGCAACUGAAGCUGCAAUGGACAAGAGAAGUGAAAAUGGAAAUUAAUAAAACUCUUAAGUUUUCCAAGAGAAAAUAAGACUAAAGAAGCACAAAGGAGAAAAUUGAAAGCAUCUGUGAUUCCAGCAGCUGGAGGUAACCACUGGAUCUCUGAAUCCUCUGAUUUCCACUGCAGCCCUCAGUGACUGGAAGAACUUUGCAGGGCAGGCAUUCUAGGCAAGACCACUCUAUUCCGUAUUAUAAUGCUUAAAAGCUACACCCUCAUUUAGAACCUGAUGACCUAGAGAGAGUCACAUGGAAAC
RNAcentral lists this long non-coding RNA (759 nucleotides) under Zalophus californianus (California sea lion). RNAcentral describes it as "lncRNA (ENSZCAG00015016707.1)". Lineage: Eukaryota; Metazoa; Chordata; Mammalia; Carnivora; Otariidae. The record is from RNAcentral.